AUAUUCCUUGAACAAUGGCUAUGAGUUUCUGAUAGACCCAACCCCAUCCUGCAUGUGACCCAUUACUGACUGUAUAUAGACAACAGGAAAGCACGUAACACAACUCCUACAAAGCCAUAACAUACAGUACCUGCAACGGUGUUGAUUCAGUUUGUAUCAAAAAACGAGUGAUGGUCAUUUUGGCUACAAACAAAAUGAUUGAGAACUUCAGAUCGAAAAAUGAACCAAAAAACAAGUGAUGAUCAGACUAUCCCCGAUUACAAACCUAGAAGAAUAGUUUGUUGUUGUGGAUGGAAUUCCAUGCGAGCUCCUUACAUUAGAUCCUUGAAUAAGGGUACGGACAACAGCCUUAGGAAGAUCAUCUUGCGAAUAGACAUUGGAACCAGAAAAGGACCCCUGAAAGACCAUGGUGAGCAUAGGUAUUUUCGUCAUUAUUUGUACUAGAAGAAGGGUGAGUGAGAUCUUACUGCUUAUUACAAGUAACAAAACAUGGUAAUUGAGCUUGCAAAAAAAUUGUUUCUUGUCACACCUCAUCAGCUUGGACAGUGCGAAUACGCUUCAUCAAGUGCUCUGAAUCAGCUGAUUGAUAAUCCAUCCCUGUAACACCUGUACGGGUCCGUGGGUGCUUCCAGAAAGCAACUGCGCUAGAAGGCUGCAUCCAGAAGGAGCUGCUGCAACAGUAGUGGUGGCGCAAAGAAGGAUUAGCGCUUCACAUUCACCCAGCAAUGGCAGCAGGAGAUGGGAAGACAGCAGGUUGAAAUGGCUGCACAACGAUAAAUAGUCAAUCAUAUCCAAAGUACUGUUAGAAAUUGUUGCACUCUUUUAUGCCGAUGAUUAGGUGCAACUUCCACCAGGGGCACCAAUAGGAGGAAAUGCGUCAGUCUUUGGAAUUGGUCCUAUAAGAGAUCUCAAAUGCUUGGGCUAGAAGCCAAAUAUUUUAGUCCGGAAAUUUUAGCUUUUAGCCUAGAAACAGUUUUUCUGCUCCAACCGUUCUGGCCUAAAAUUUUAGUCCUGGAUUAUUAAAGAAUGAACUUAGGCUAUUUUUUUUUGUUAAAUUAAAUUUUAAAAAAUAAAUAAAUAUGUAGACUAUCGUAAAUUAAUUUUAUGAACAUUUUAAUCUAAAAAAAUUUUAAUUCCGAUAAAUAUUGAAAAAUCACUAAAUUUUUCUCAAAGCAAGCCUUCAACUUUCACCAAUCUUUCAACCCUGGUGAAUUUUAAGUUAAAUAAUUUUUUUUAAUUAUUUUAGCCUUUGGAUUUAAAUUUGGGUCGUUAGAUAAUUUUUUUACCGUUAGAUUUGAUUAUAUUCGAUUUCAGUCAUUGGAUUCAAUAAUAUAUAAAUAUAAAAACAAAAAAAAAAUUUGAAUCUAGGCUAUUGGAUUAACCAACGGCCUGUAGAUCGUGACCGUUGGAUGGAAGUAGCCAUUGGAGGCGCUGCAGAACAUGGCCAACAGGCCCACGUGGGCGGGGCCCUCGCUGUCUGAGGCAUUGUGUGUCGUGCGAGUUGGGCGAGUGGGUGGGCUGCGUUUGGCGCACAAACGCCCCUUUUCACUCGGUUCGGUGGAGCCCACCCUGAUUUCUAGGUUAAAUUUUGGGGGGAAUUUGGCAUUGAUUUAGCAUUUAAUAUUUGGCUCAAAUUUUCCCCUUGGGUUGGAUUGGGUUUGAGGGGAAAUUUUUUGGGGGGGGUAAUUUGGCUUUUAGCCUAUCAUUAGAGUUGGUCUAAGAGGACUAUUUCAUCCACCUACUCGCCUGAGUUCACUCACUUAACUCGGUCUCUGACUCCUUCAACUCGCUUGUCAACUCGGUUCCCGACUUCGACGAGUUGAACGACUUAUUUUAUGAGUAAAUUGAAGGUGAUUGAUGUCUACAAUUUGAAUGAGUAAAUUGAAGGUGACAGCCAUUGUGCACUAGGGUUUCAUUGGCCCCGUAUGUUGCCAUUCAUACUAUUUUUGUCUUCUUUUAAUUUUUGUUUUAUAUUUCUGUAAAAUAUUCAUGCUGAACUGUUUCAAGUAAUGUAUGUUGUCAUCCACAUCAAUUAUCAAAGCCCUAACAGAACAUGCCCCCACUCUAUUUUAGUGAUUGAUGAUGAUGCGCACCCAUAAAUUAUACCUUUCAUUUUGUGGCCAAAACCCUUUCUGCCGAAAUGGAGAAUAUCCUCGUGUCUAUAGUAGUUAUCACGUGCAGUGACAUUCUGUCACUGGGGGAUCGAUAUAUCUUCUUGUGUCUAUAUCACUUAUCACAUGUCAUUCACGUUAAAAUAUGUUUAAUCAUUCGGAUCAUAUUCAAUUUGUUGUUUUUGGCCUUCUCUUCCCGGCCUAUGGUUUCAAGUUUUCACUUGCUGCAAUAUAUUUCUUGAUGUCCCACAAUUCAUAGAAGUCAGUUUGACCAAGAAAUAUAGCUAUUAAUAUAUGGGUUGGUCGGAUGCUUAAGUGAAAUUAGGGGACAAAUUAUCCUGAGUUAACGGCUUUAACGCACGAAAAUCAUUUUCAAUUUUCAAGGAGGGAAUGUUACAAGCUUAGCAAACUUAUCAAAUUUUUGUGAUGUGUUAUAAAAUAAUGUAAUGUGAAACAAUCACAAGCCAUAAAAUUUGGGGUGAUGUUAGAGAUACCAUAUACUUGAAUCAUACUCUAUAAAUCACAUGAUGUGGGAGUUGAAGGUUGAAAUUGUUUAAAUCACUAAAAAAAAAAUUCAAUCACCAACCAUCAUAUCAUAUGAUUAACAAAAAUUUGCUUUGUUAAUUAAUUAUCUUGUUCAGGUCCUCAAGUAAUCCUUUAAAUAAGGAUUAGUGUAACUUUUGGGUUCGGUAAACCAAGGCACCAAGAGUUGAUAUAAUUGGUCAAGUGAUUAUUUAAAUUAAUUAACUCAAAAUUAGGAGGAAUAUUUUAGCCAUCUAAACACUACUACGUUACUUUUUUCUCUUAUAUUAUAAAACGCGUGCUUGUUUUUUAACUAAUAUAUCUCAAAAAUAAAGUUUAUAAAUUACGUUGUUCACACGUGAAAUAAUACAUCAUGUAACAAGUAUUAUGAAAACAAAUAAAAAAUCUCCAAAAGUAGGUGCUAGGAAGGAAAACAUGAUAUAGAUGAAGAUAUAUGGAAAAAUCUUACAAGAACAAAAAUACUAACUUUGGUCAAUAAUCCAUUUGGCGUGGAGGAAGCGUCAUUUGCUCUUCAUAGCUGAAUGGAUAGGCUCGCGGUUGAAUUUUUGAAUGUUUAUUUGGGCCCCACGUGUUUGUUUUUCUUUUGUAAGUGGGUCCACCUAAGUUGGACCAACCUAGAUAAAGAGAGAGGUUAUUCUUGUAAAGAUGGUGAGGUCCAAAAAUGGAAUGCUAUUUUUUGUAUUUAGUUUCCAAAUUUUCGCUUAAGUAGGAAGGAAUGCUUUCUCUUUGUUUGUUGCAUGCGUAUGUAACCCCUUGCCAUUGUUGAAACUUGAAACCUUUUAGUAUUCUACGAGUGAAAUUAUAUACAUUUUACGUUUCGGUAAUACUAGGAAGACAAACUAUUUAAAUGAUAUUUUGUAAAUCAUAUAAAAUGGGUGUUGAUUAUUGAAUUAUCUUGAUUAAUAUGUUUAUUUUAUAUUUAUGACAUAUCACAUAAUUUACAAAUUUGGUUUAAAAAGUUGGUCUACCUAACAUUAUUCUUUACGUUUUUUGUCAACCAAAAUAGAGCUAAAGCAUGUGUUUUUCUAAUCUAAAACCACAUAGAAUCCGACCAGAAAAAGAACAAUAUAAAGUUCGAAUUGGUGUUUUUGUUUCUUCAAAACAAGUUAUAGUACGAGAGGCUGAAAUCGAAAAUAAGACUUCGAGCACAAAGCUUUUAAUCACAUGACUAGUCAGUUUAAUGACUUCGGUCUUUAUUAGGUAGAAGAGAUUCUAAGUUCGACUCACAAUUAUGCGAAAACAAUAUAUAGUUAUAAUAACUAGUGUGUUCAAUACUAAUUUGUAGCACAAUUUAACAAAUUGAUGUAAAAAUAUCUUCAUGCAUAUCAUAUUAUUUAAAAAAAAAUCACUUAAAUUAUUACAAGUAAUAUUCUAUAUUAAUUUACACUAAAAGGAGAUCUGCACUAAAUUCCUAGUAGUUGAUUUAAGUCUUCAAGCAUGCUUCACUUCAUUUCUCAUGUAAAUUUCUUAUUAAGAUGAGAAAUGGAAUACAAGUAGAUUCCAUUUUAGCUUUUUAUCCGAACUAGUAUGAAACAUGAGUCAUGCAUCCAAAGUAGUAUGAACAUCAUGAGUCAUGCAUAGGUGAUAGGUAAUAGGCCUUCAUGGGAGUGUAGUGUGUAAUUCCUAUCAAAUUUUCAAAUCAAAUAGUUGAUGAAAGACCAAAGGAUAUGAACGAACGACAUGCCGUAUGAAGCAAUGGGCAGGCUUGAAUCGAUUGCAAGAAAUGGUAACCCUAAACAUUAUUUAUUCUUUUACGCACUUUAAUAGAAUCCGACCUCAACUAAAUUAAUUAUUUUCAUGCAUAAGAAUACUAGAUUACAAUCAACCAACAUUUAGCAAAUUUGAAAAAGAGCCAAAAAAAUGGUAUGAUUCACUUAUUUUUAUUUUUUGAAUUGAGAGAUUCAUAAAUCAGAAUCGUAAUGCAUAUAUUAAUCAAACAGAAAUAAUGUACGAUUAUAAUUAAAAAAAAAUGUAGUUGUUAUUUCUCUUAAAUUAGUUAAGCAGCAUUUCGUGACUAACGAGAAGAAUUAACAGGGCAAGAGAAUAAGAGUAAUUAAUGUUAUACUUGCCACCUAAUUAUACCAUGAUCUGUACUAUCUUUCUAAAAAUUAUAAUUCACAAACUAAACAUAUAUUAUGAAGAAAGGAGAGUACUCGGUAUCACAACUACUGCAGAAACCCGAAAAUUCUCUCGUGACGUACGAGAGUUUGACUGAGGUCUUGUGGUCAGAUAAUCGGACGACGGUUGUUCGUUAUUUAAUUGAUUCGAUGUGAUGGAAGUAUGGAUUAAAAUGGAAACACCAGCGCAAAAGCCUAAAUAUUCUCUCUCCUUCUUCGUCAUCGUCGACACGUUUCGCCACCACAUGAGCUCUCCUCUGGUGAAAACCUCUCGGCUCCUGCAACGUGUCCACUGCCUCCGUCGCCUUCAGCAGUCGCUUGCCGCCGUCACCAUUUUUGCAAAAUCCCAGCGCCAGCUACUGCACCAGUUUUCUUGACAUGUUUGGAUUAUAUAUGUGUUUUAUAUUGACUAAGACCCUAAAUCAUGUCGUGUUCGGUAUAGGGCAAAUUCGGUGGUGCUAUACAUAUAUUUAUUUUAUCUUUCACACAUUUAUUAAUUUUGAGUCUCCAAAUUAAAUGAAUUUAAAAAAAAUUAAUGAACAAAAUUUAACAAGAAUGUGUAAGAAGUAAAAAAAAAAAGUGUAAAUAGGAUAACCUAUUCAAUUACAUGCGGUGUUCUAAACCUUUCCUAAUGUUUUUUAACUUGCCAUAUUACAUUUUAAGUUGCUAAUAAGUUCUUAUCGUAUAUGUAUUUUAGUUGGCAUGCUUGUUCUAAUUAAUUCUCAACAUUAUAGAGACACUUACAAGCAUCUACUCUAUAUAUUGUCGAUAAAACAUGUAACAAUAGUUUACAAAUAUCUCCAAUGUUGUUGUCUGUGUUGCUGUUGUCGUUCCUUUAAUAUGCAGUCUUGCAAAAAGUUGCAAGUAGCUGCCCAAAUUAUAUAGGUAAAUAAAGAACUGAGAUCUUCUCCAGAUUUUUGAGCCUGACGAGCUUAAAAACUUAAAGAUCUGGGCCGUUAAAGAAAGAGAUUAGGACUCUUAGUUUGUGUAAGAUGGACUAGUAUCAUGGAUUAAUGAGAAUCGUAGAAUUGAAAUUAAGUGUCUGAAUCUCUUAGCAUGCGCUCUGAUUCAUCCUUUACGUUCAAGAAAGACAAAUGGAAAAGUAAAAAGAAGAAACUUGGUAAAUACAGAGAGGUAAUUAUGCAGUGCAUGAAAAUUCAUCCCUAGCUACCUCAUUCUCUAGUGGUCAGAAAGAACCCACCAAAGUGUAAAGGGCAUACACACAAUAGAUAGAUAGAAAUGGAUUUGGAUCCCAUCCGGAUCCAAAUUGUGGGAUCCUCACAUCUUAAUCAUUCUUCGUACAUCGCGUAGUCAGAAAUCCUUUGAUUUGUUUUUUUUAAAUUAAACACAAUUAAUACCUAACGAAAACUGACCGAACGAUAUACGAUAAAUGGAUAGAAUGCGAUGAUCCCAAGGAUCCUCACAAAAAGAAUCCUAAGAGGAUCCUCAUCCGAUAGAAAUAGAUAUAGAUAUACUCAUUAUAUAUAUAGACUCCCACACGAAGGAUGAAUAGCGACAUUGACCAUAGGAAAAAUAAUUUAUAUUCUACUAAACUACUUAUGUGCAUGUACACAUUAUUCUCAAAUGUAUGUACAUGAACAGUAACUCAAACGAGGGUUGGUUCAGUUGGUCAAGUUCCUACCUUGUAUGUCUCUCUGCCCAAGGUUUGAAUUUCACUGCUAACAAUCUUCGUUGGUGUGCGAUAUGUAAAUUCCUAUAUAAAUGCAUAUGAUGCUGGUGGUAGUUGAUAGUUAGGAGUGUAUGACGCUGAUGAUGAGAGUAACCAAUAUCUCCCAAACUUUUUAUUACAAAAAAAAAAAUUGAUUUAUAUACACACCUCUUCUCUUUCAGGCACGUUUGUUUACCUAUGAUUUUGAUUUAUUUAUUUUAUUCAAUUCAAAAAUAAAAAUAAAUAUAAACGUGCAUAAAAAAUAGUGUGUGAAUAUUGUUCUCAUGUAUACAUACUAUGAAAACGAAAGCAGUAAAAGACGAAACUACCGUCUCUCUCCUCUCUCCUCUCUCUUCUCUCUCUCACACAUAUAGUUGGCCAACACAUGGAACCGCACCACAUGUACACAGUACCAUCAUCUCUUUCAGCAUAGUGCUUCAUCUUUGCCUUUAAGACUAUCUGGGUUUGAAAAGUGGGUGGUUUUUCCUCUCUCAAAAGACUCCACAUAGCUUUUUCUCUCUACCCUUUUCUCCUCGUUAAUCCAUGGACACAGCUCACUGGCCACAGGUAAAGCGAAAACCUUUUCUUUUUUUCCUCCAUGAAAUCAUGAAAUUAUCAUCUAGGGUUGAGUUUUUCAAAGUUAAUAUUUAUAAGAAAUAUCUUAAGCUUAAUAGCUUUGGGUUUGGAAAAUUAUCUUCCUUCAUAUAUAAGUUGGUUUUAAAGUUGUAUUAAUUUGCUUUUCUUCUUUCCACUAAUAGUGGCUGAAUUUAUAUUGUUGUAUCUUCCAAAGGUCUUUCAUUUUUUGUCCUGAAAAUUUAAAGUACUGCACUUUUUCUUUUCUUUUUCUUCUUCCCAUCAUCUGAUAAAGUAGGUUGUUUUCUUUCCUUUUACUUUCUUCUCUCCAUCUUUGUCUUAAUUUUUUCGGAGUGACAACAUAUAUACUCUUUUUUGGUGGGUUUUCGAUCACCAAAGUUAUGGCCUUUUCUUGUCGCUUUUUUUUUUUGGGUUUAUUUUUAUAUUUUAUUUUCAGGGUAUUGGAGUGGUUAACUCCAUGGAAGAUUUUUCUUCUACAAGGCCAAUCACAGAGAGAAGGGCAAGGCCUCAAAAGGAUCAAGCUUUGAAUUGUCCAAGGUGCAAUUCCACCACCACAAAAUUCUGUUAUUACAACAAUUACAGCCUCUCUCAGCCAAGAUACUUUUGCAAGACUUGUAGAAGGUAUUGGACUGAAGGUGGAUCUCUGAGAAAUGUUCCGGUGGGUGGAGGGUCACGGAAGAACAACAAGAGAUCAAAUAAUUCCGAUUCAUCAUCACCGUCCACGUCUUCAGCGAAGAAGGUUGCUCAUGAUCGUGAUCACCAUCUGACCCCACAAAGUAAUUUUCCUUCUCAGUCUGCUUCUCAAAACCCUAAUAAGAUCCACUUCCAAGGUCAAGAUCUCAACCUUGCAUACCCACCAGCUGAUCAGGAACAUGACAACAAUAAUAUUACCGAACUACCCUUCAGUAUGGAGACUAUUGACAACAGAACCUACCACCACCAAAACCCUAGCUCCUCAGCCACUACUACCACAUCUCAUCAUUUCUCAUCGGCUAUGGAACUGCUCAAAAGUACUGGGAUUGCAUCAAGGGGGCUGACUUCUUUCGUGCCGAUGGCGGCGGUGGAGGUGCCGGAUCAUUCGAGUAACAUCACAAUGUUUUCAUCUGGGUUUCCGAUGCAUGAGUUUAAGCCAAGUGGGCUUAGUUUUUCUCUAGAUGGGUUUGAGAGUGCUGGAUUUGGUGGCUGUCUUCAAGGGGUGCAAGAGACUACUAAUACUAGUCAUGCAAGGCUUUUGUUUCCUACUGCUCAGGAUUUGAAGCAGCAGAUUCCGAGCUCUACUACUGCUGCUGCUGAUUUUGAUCAACACAAUAAUAGAGGAGGAGAAGGAGGUUCCGGUGGUGGGUAUUGGAAUGGAAUGCUAGGUGGCGGAUCAUGGUAAUGCAAUUGCCAGAAAAGAAACAAAAAAAGUAGUGAUCUAGAAGAAAGAUCGGUAUUUGGUUUUGUUUUUCUUCAUUUGCUUGGAUGGCUUGUUUGGAAUUGGAGUUGAUAACGAACAAAGUAAUAGGGUACAUGAGUUUUUCUUCCCCUUUUUCAUCAUCAGUGUUAAUUAUACUUGAUCUGCCUUGUUCUUUCUCCCUCUCGGUUUUCUAGUAUGCUUAGGAUAUCCUGUACACCAGAGCAUAGUAGAAUUUUCGCUCAUUCUCACCCUCCUCCUUAUUAUUUUUUUUCCUUUAUUUUGUCCUUAAUCAAUGUGCAUGUUUGAAAAUUUAUUAUUGGUUUUGCUUCAAAGGGGUGUCUCAUGAAUCAUGAGGAAUUCUUUACAAAUAUUCAUGAAAAGAAGGUCAAGGAUUUCCCCUAUUUCCCUGUUAGGGUUUCAUAACGCAGAGAAAUUACAUGAUUACUCCUAUAGAGAUUACUUCUUGAUCAUCUACCACAUGCAGCAGCGUACGAUGCAGUUCUUUAGGAUUUCCUGCUGAAAUUCAAUGAUUUAUUUUCAUUAUGUUUUCGGUUAGCUUAGUUAACAAGUGUCGGUAAUUAAUUUGUCAAUUAAGUUGUGUACACAGAGAUUAAGGACUUAUUUUAUAUGUUUACUUUAGUAGUUAACACUUGGAUUUGUGGGUUGAUUGUGUACGUAUUUAGAGAGUGUAUUAGCAGUUGAGGUUGGAUUAUUUAUUGGUUAAGUAAUAUUAAAGGUGAGUUGGAAUGAUGGCUGUCAAUCCUUUAUUAGCAAAAGUUUCUUCUUUUUGCUUGGCAACAGAUCAGAAAUGUCAGGUCUUUUCAGCACCAUCUGCGCCUUUGAGAUUCUUCCACCCAUUAACUCCACCACCCCCCACCUCCCUCCUGCUCUUCAUGAAUCUUCAUCAUCACCCGCACAAGGAGAUGAUUUUUCAAGAACAAUGAGUAGGUAUGCAAGACCCAAACACUAUUUAUUUUAAAUUAAAUUCUAUAAACCCUAAGCAAAUCUGGGUCUGCCGUCAACAAUAUAAAUUAGAGAACUCUGCUUUUAGGAACUUCAUUUUUUACGGUAACGAAAGUGAGACGAUAGAUUCAAUCUCCCUAAGGCUCAUGUAUAAUAUAAGACUACCUUUGCAUUUAAGAAAACAUGAAAAAAAAGGGGUGAAUAUGUAAGAAGUCUUUUAUAUGAUGAAUGCAUAGUUCGGUGGUCCUUCACCUAUUUUCAAAGAGCUCUCGAACCCCUUGACUAACUUGCACUCCCUUCGUUAUUGACCCAAAAAAGAAAAGAAACUUGCAGUACUCCCUUUGUUGGCUAAGAAAAGUUUUUCAAAUUGCGGAUACUUCAUAUGUUAUAAAAUAAGUAGAAUAAUACAAAAAAAAAUAUAGUGUUUUCUCCACUUAUAGUAUCAUGCAGAGUACUGCUUAAAUAUCUAAUACUUAAAUUUCUCAUUGGCUAUGGAGGGCCACCACAAACAUUCCCAUCCGUCGGUCACCAUGCUAGGGAAUAAUCUUGUCCACUCUACAAAAUCCUCCCAGAUGUAGACCCUCAUUCAUUAAUUAAUAUAAUAUGUAAUUAGAUUCAUACAUUGAGAUAAGAUAGAUUGACUUUCUACUUUCCAUAUAGUUGUUCCAUCUUUUUGUCUUGGUAAAUCGAUGAGAACUAGCUACGGUUAUAGCUCCUCUUGCUAGUCACAGUGAUAUAUGUAGAUGGAGGUGCACCACCCACCAUGAACAUCCCUUUCUUGCCAAAACUUAGGCAUCUACAAUCUACUCCACCAAUCUCUCCUUGCUUUUCACUUUUAACAUUUUUUUUCCUCGCAAAACUUGUUAAGAUAUAUGGAAAGAUUCUCCUAAUUAUGCCACUAAUGCACCACAUAUCAAUCGUCUUUUUAAACACGACAAACAUUUAGAUAUGGGAUAGCAAGCUGUUUUACAUUUUUACUAUAGUGAAUCUUUUCUUUCUUGUUUGUACAUAUUUUUGUCAAUGAUAAGCAGUCGAAUUAAAGGGUACAUUUUUGCGCACCAUCCUUGGUGAUGAUGUUCAUCACCCUAUUUAUCGCGGUUAUAUGUGUUUAAAUUUUGAAAUUUGUGUCUAUCUAUUACACAGAUUUUGAAAUUUAAACUCAUCUGGUAGUACUAAAUAGGACAAUGAGCAUCACAAUCACUUAAAGGUGUCGAGCACAAAUACUCCCCAAACUUGUUUGUGCAUUGGGAUCAUAUAUAGUAUUGGGUAGCAGAAGUUAUAGAACGUUGGCCGGAUACAGUACGUACUACCUACACAAUUUACACAACGCAUGUAUAAUCCAUCAACUGCAUACAUGCCUACAGUUAUACAUUUGUUCAUUACCUUAGGAUCAUUUUCCUGCUUUUUGGGUGAUACUUAACCAUGUGCCAAUUAUAUAUUUCUCAAAUCAUCAUAUCACCUUCAUUAGGGUUCUAAUCACCACGUCUCCUGUAAAGCGUACUGCUGCUCAAAUAUUACAGCUAGCUAGUUGCACAUUAAAUAAAUUUGAUUUUAUGGUAGAAUCCUAACUUUUUUACAGUAUGUGAAAGUAAAUUGGUCUUUUGACUGGUGUAAAAUUACCACACACACAUGACUCUCAAUUGCUAAAACCGUAAAAAAGUUUGAUGGAAUCAAGUUAUCUUUGAACUGCGAUAAAUAUCAUCAAAUUACAAGAACCUAUAUCACGGCAGUUAAAACUACAAGAACUAAACUGUAACUUCAUGCAGCAUUGGUCCGGCAAGUAAUUUUAUGUUGUCAACAGAUUUGAAAUCUUAUAGCCAAGCCAGUCCAGCUCCUUAUUCAGGCUCUUCUUUUUGCUAGAAUAAAAAAUAGCAAUAGUACAGGUACAUGAUAUGAUGCCUCUUGCGUACAAAAACCCUAAAAAACUUCAUCGCAUGGAAAAACCCUACUACUCCUCUCAGUCCGCCCUCUUACGUUAAGGUACUGCUAUUCGGAUGGCUCAGAUGGCUCAGGAUGAUGAUCAUGCUGCUCCUAAUCAGAUGGCUCAGAUGGCUCAGCGUGAUAAAGGGUUUUGGUAGCAUGUGGUAACAAGUAGUGAAGUCCAAUCAAAGUAUUAGGUUUCGGAGAUAUUUACGCUUAUAAAUUUGUUCUUUCCAAGUACAGCUAUCCAGUUUACUAUUAUUUCAACCUGGCAACUAUUUCCUGGAAACCUACUAGAGGAAAAAUCAAAGGUGCAUUUGUUGCACCGUACUAUUUCAAACUAUAUUAACUUCAGGGACUAAGGUGUACUCAGUAAUAUAAGAACAAUGAAGCGUUUGGUACAAUGUUGGCCUAAGCUAUGGGAGAUGUUGACAACUCUAGUUAUGGGCCCCAGAUGCUAUGAAUUGUAUAAAAAUGCUACAAAAAACUCCUAUAGCAUUUGAAAAAUGCUAUGGAAAAAGUUUAUUAUAGCAUUUUGGAAUUGAUAUAGUAUACUUUUCAUAGCAUUUACAAGCUAUAAAGGGUGAUAAUAGCAUUUUACACUUUCUAUAUCAUGGCCUAAUAUAUCAAGAAGCAAGCGGCCUUUUAUCACAGUAGUAGAAAAGUAUUGUGCUCUUGCAUGAUGACGUGGAUUCAAACCUCAUCGGUUGCUAAUUUAAUAUUUAUUCUAACAAAAUCUAUCGUUUCAAAAAUCUGUUACUCAGAAUAUUCAUUUACAAGAAGAGCCAUGUCGUAGAUGUUACAGAUACAAUUUUCAGAAUCUAAAAACAGCUCUCUGGUUGGGGAUACUCGACUGAAUGUGUUUAAUUUUAAGCCUACUUCCUUCAUCAAACACCGUCUCCAUGAUAUAACCGCCGUCAAACUUCAUAAGAACAGCUAUAAACCUACGGGCAGCAGAAAACAAAACUUUGAAAGCGGAGUAGGCGGGUGACUGUCCGUGACUGUUAGAACUUAUCAGACUUACAUAACAAUAAACAAACAAUAUACAUGGCCUUACCAUGAUUUGAAACUACGUGCCUCGGCGAUACUCCAAUUGCUUUGUAUUCUCUAGUAAUACCUACCAUAGAAAACCCAGAUUAAAAUUCCAAUAAAGAUGGCAAUACUGCAACAAAAAAUGAAGCAAACUCUCAUUGAGCAACAAGCACUGUCCAAAUACAGUGGCUACAUGUCAAGGCAGAACUUAUCACUGCAGGGGAGGAAAAAUAGAGCAAAAAAGUGCUUACUUGUCGAAUAUAUGUUGCAACUGCCUUGCAGCCCUCGAUUGCAAGUUGCAUUACGUUUUCAAAAAUGUCCAACGGUAAUUUAGCAUCCAUCUGCAUCAACGAUCAUCACGAAUAAGUGGUUUACAAAAGGCGCUACAAAGAAGACACUGUACAUGCCAACUAACACAACAAUUGUAACUUAACAUUGUGACAACAGAUUGAGAAACAAAUAUGACAAUUACCUGAAGAAGAGUCACUUUGUCCAACUUUGGCAUAAUGCCUAAAGUGACAUCAGCGCCUCCAGCACUAUCUUCUACAUAGUUUAAAUCUGCCAAACCAGCAACAAUAAGCUCACAUGAAUAUUACAAUGGCCUUACAGGAGCCGUACAAGCAUAAGGUAACGUAAAAGUUUACCAAGUAGAGGUGUGCUAUUAAGGUAGCCCGCACUACAGGAAGUAACAAGGUCACGCAUUGGAAUUCCAGCAUCUGAAAGGGCCAGGGUUGCAGCAUUGAUACAUGCAGAUCUAGUACCUGCCAAAGAUAAAAUAAAUAAAAUAAUCGAACUCAAGGAUAGAUCUUUCCGUUCUUCAAUUAAAACAUUGAAGCAACCUGUUCAAAUCCAAAAGUAUUUGCUAAAUAGUAAAUAGUUAACAUUCUAACCGAUACACAUAUAACAGGGACAACCAUGGUACUUUGUUAACAGUGAACACUAUCGAUCACAUCUCUAUUUCCAUACGAUGCAACAACAGCGAUAACUAUUAAUGAACUGCCUGCAGCAUAGGUUGACCCUCAAACACGAACUACCUCAAUAGUAGUUAAAAAACAGAAACAAACAAACAGCUUUAAUAAAUUCAAAAACAAGUGGUUAACGUACAUGAAAUGACAUGAGGAGGCUUCGUUUUUCAGAAAAUAAGCCUGGAUCUACAAAUAUCUUGACUGACAGGACCAAACAUUCACACACACAAAGGAAACAUAUCAUAUAGGACCUACGGCUGCAAUGAGACAUCGGGAUUUACCUCCAUCUGCUUGGAGAACUUGCACAAAAAUAUCAAUCUGCAGUAAACAGAUACAAGGCUCAGAAAAGAACAAACUAAACAUUCAUCGAAGAAAAGUUCCCAAGAUGCAUCAGUAGAACCUGAGUCCGAGGCAUUAAAUGAGUCAUAAUGCAUGCUUCCAUGGUUUGCCGAAUAACAAGAGAAAUCUCUGUGGAUCGUCUGGACAGCAUCAAAGAUACACAUUUUAAUGCUAUAGUUUAAUUUAGUUAUGGAUACAACACUCUUAUGUUGAAUUUUAUAUUGAUGAUGAUCCAAAGCAUGUAUCUAUGAACAUGAAAUAGAAUAGAAUAUAUCACCUAUCACCCUUUGGUUUCCUCAUGCGAUCUCCAGUACUAAAAUUUGCCAUGGUGUACUCACAUCGCACCUAAACUUAUUAACAGUUGCAAACGACAUUACAUAUGCCUGUCAGGUUUAUCAUACUAACCACAACAUAGAUAAGUUUAACACACAGAGACUUAGAUGAGAACUAUUACCAGUGCCCUGUCAUUCAUCUGUUGGCUCCUAUUUGGGACCUAGAAAACAAAAGUACAUUAACAGCUGGAAUGAAUUAAAAUUGAAAAUUGUACAAGACCUUUUAAAUAAUAAUGAGUACCACGCACAAGAUCAUUAAAAUUUUAUAUCAAAAUUAUAGAAUGAAGAGAAAGUGUUGGCUAACCUCUCGAGGGCCAUACACUGCAGCAAUGACUUUGGUGUUCCCCAUCUCAAACACAGCAGAACUGAAAUUUGAUAUGAAAGAUCAUUUUUUUUUUUUUUAAAUUACAAAGAUUAGAAAAGAAGAAUCAAGGCUUUAGUAAUUCAAACCCGUCAGCUUUGUCCACAACACCAAUCUCUCCUCGAAUUUGUCUCAUCUGGGAUCAGAGAAAAUAGAUUUAGUUCAUAAAUAUAAUUGACAACUUAUAACGAUUAUGAUUGAAUAAAAUGGAAAAUUGAGAGAUGGAAAAUUACUUCCAUGGGCCGCCGACCAUCUAAGCGAAGACCUUCUGGGCUCACGUACUCCAUCUGUUAGAACUUCGUAACAACCAACUUAGGAAACCACAUAGAUAACAAGAACAAAUAGUAGCUAAACCAAUCACUGUCUAAAAUUUAAACGCCAUGACAACCAAACUACAAAGUUCCAUAAAUUAAUGCAUAAUGGCUUUGUUUCAGCAACAAUAUGGCUAUGCUAUAUCAUGGUUCAUGCCUAUACUUAUCAAAAAAUUAGACAAGCAAGACGGAAGUAACAACAACAACAACAACAAAGCCUUUUCCCACUAAGUGGGGUUGGCUAUGUUGUUGUUGUUGUUAAAAGGAUUCGACGUAAACUAGGAGUGCCGGCUGUCGACUAACCAAAAGGAAGUAAUGAAAGACGGAAGUAAAUCAAGAAAAAAAUACUUCACUAACCAAAAGGAAGUAAUUCAAAUAAAGAACGCUAACUCUCAGAGAAGAAGCUAACUUUGUUUUCACCUUCCCUUCAACACCCUCAACAACUCUUUACACUCGCAAGAAAAAAUCAGUAACGAAAGGACCACCUUUUAUCUUUUAAUCAUGAAACCCAUUACAGCAGAAACCGUUCUCAAUUAAGACAAUGAACGGGUAUGGUGGAAUACUCAAAUCAUUGGAACCCACUUCCUAAUGACUCUCAAAUGCAGAAUAAACCACGAUAAUGUUAAUCUGUUAUGGGCAUACACUAAAUUUCUAAACACUAAAUUAGAUUUCUGACUCUCAAAGACAGAAAUUAGAUUUCAAAACACUAAAUUAAUUACCUAAUUUGGGGUGAGAGUGAGACUCGGACUCAGUGUGGUGGUGAGAGAGAUCGCGGGUUCUGUUCUGUCCGUGAGAGAAAAUCGCCCGAGAGAGAGAUCGUUAGAGAUAGCGGUGGUUGUGUGGUGAAGGAAGGCUGGAGAGUCAGAGACGACAGUAUGGUGUGGUGGUAGGCCGGUGGCUGGCCGGAAUUCGACAGAGAGAGUCAGAUGAGAGAUGAGGGCUCGGCGAGGGAGGGCUGCGCUUCGAGUUCGAUGGAUGGAAACAAAUGAACCACUGGAAGAUUUUGGAAUGGUUAGAGAGCAGCGGUUUUGUGUUAGGGUUUGAAAUGAUGAAGCAGUGCACUCAUGGUGUUGGGCUCCAGGUCAGAAAUAGUCCAGCCCGCAGCACUUUUGGGUUUUUAUUUUUCACCGCCUUCUUUGACGCUCUCAUGCAAAAUACCCGCGGAUCUGGGUUAUCCGCCUAUUUAAAUUUCACGGUUACAGUUAUGGGUAAUCGUUUAGAUAAAUAAACGGUUAUGGGUAUAACCGUUUACCCAUGAAAUUUUAAGGAAAACUAAUGAAAAGGGCUUGAAAACUUUGAGUUUUAAUGAUAAAGACAAAAUAAAGGGUAAAAUGAAUAGUACCAUGAUUGACUUUUUAGUGUAAAAAUGUGGUUUUUCGUUAAAGUGAACAGUACCGGGUGCUUUUCAUUAAAGUUCCCUUUAUUUUAUAUAUGUAAAAUUAACACAAACCAUGUUUUAUAUCUAACAAAACUUAGAUCAAUGCUAUUGACUAUAGUGCAUGGUUUAUAUAGCUAAUUAUAUAUAUAUAUAUAUAUAUAUUAUGUUAAUACUUUACAUUAUAGGUUAAAUAACUCAAGAAUAUUGUCUUCUAAACAGUUUUCGUAACAAAAAAUACUUAACAAAUAUUAUAUUACCUUCAUUGGUAACAUGGAUUAGUAGUAAAAGUUUUCCCAAAAGAUUAGGAAAAUAAAUAACAAUUCCCCUCAGCCCCACUCGUUUAAUUCAACCCAAGACCUGUUCCUCAAACAUGUUGCAACUUGCCAUUUCAACUAAUCCCUCACUUUUGUUAGCAUUGUUACUGCAAUUUAUAUAUCCUAUAUUCCAAUUUUGUUUUGUAAAACUAAUUUUCUUGCUUUUUCAUUCUAUAUCAAUUAAAAAUAUCGUUCGUAAAUUAUUAUUUCAAUUAUUGGAAUGAUAUAAGGACUGAAAAACUUAAAAUAUGGAAAUGUAUGAUGAAUGUACCUAUUACGGUGUUUAAUUGUUAUAAAAAAGAAAAUUAUGACAAUUUUGUUUUUUAAUUUUUAAGUUGUUAAAAAACAUGUAGACGGGUGAAAAUGGGUAAUGGUAAAAAAAAAAAAAAAAAAAAAGAUAAACGGGUAAAAAGUGUAAAUGGGUAAACGGGUAUUAAACGGUUAUGAUUAAAUGGGUAUGGGUAUAACCGUUUAGGCAAUUACCCAACGGGUAAACGAUUAUGCGGGUAUGAUCAUAAACAGUUAUGGGUAAAUAACCGCAGUUACCCGCCCGCCAUAACCGUUGCUCAUCCCUACUCAUGGCCCUUUUGAACCAGGUGUGCCCAUUCCCUUUUCUUUUCUCUUAUUUUCUGUUUUAUUUGUUAUUUUAUAUUUCUUUUAUUGUUUUUUUUCCUAUUUUUAUUGUCCUAGUUUACUUACUUUAUCUUUGUUAGUUGUUUUAAGUAUUUAUUUUAGGACUUAUUAUUUUUGUUCCUUUUCAUUUAUUUUAUUUUCCACACCUUAAGGACAAUGUGUGAUUUAAGUUUGGUGAAAGAAAAUAAGAACUUUUAGAUUUAUUUAUUUAUUUUUGAGUCAAAUAAAAAUUUUCAUUCUUUUGAAGUUAAUAUUCAUAGAUUAUUUUAAACGUUAUAACAAAUGAACAUGAUGAAGAUUAAUCUCAUAGUAGAGUCUUUCUAUUUUUCGUUGCUUAGACACUAAUUCAUGAGUAUACUUUGAAAAUUUGCACGUUCACACCAACAUGGUUUGUGGGAAGUGAGAUUGAAAUACUUACUUUUUGUCUGAUUUAAUUUUUAAUUUUUAAAGGCCCGUUACAUAAAGAGCCAUUACCGUUGUUUCUUUUUUACUAUUGAAGAAGAAAGGUGACUCAAUUUGUUGACUCUGAUCUGAUACACUGCAGAAAUUCUACCUUAUAGGUAACUUUUUGUGUAUUGUCUUGCAAAAACUGUUACAAAUUUGCCCAAAUAAAUUAAUACAAUUAUUUGUGCAUGGUACGUGGGACGGGACGGGACGAGGCGUUCCGUCCCGCGUUUGGUGCGCCAAAAAUGGAUGGAACGGGCUGUUCCACGGGACAGAUUUUGAGUGUUUUUGCGUUCCACCUCCCCCCUGGAACGGGUUUGUUCCACGUUUGUGGAACGCAAUGUUUUACCAUUUUAAGACAAAUAUACCCCAUGUCUUUUUCAAAAAUUACACCUUCGUUCCGUCCCGUCCCGUUCCGUUCCGUCCCGUCCCGUCCCGUCCUGUUCCGUUCCGUUCCGUUCCGUCUGCGUACCAAACGCACCCUAACUUAUAACUCAUUCGUCCUUCAUUCAUGUAGCUCAAUUCUCUCCUCGUAUUUUUUUCUCUGCUUCUUUCCAUGUCCUUGAUCGUAAGCGUAAAUCCUUCAACUUCUGUGCAGCACCUUGCAUUUUUGGUCAAGCGAAAGAAGGUCCUUUCAAUUGAUGCCCAAGCUUGGAGAAGUUCUUCUCCAUAAAAUUCCUUACUGAAAGCACCCAUCGCUAACGGUAUUACCAGCGCUUGAAGAACCCCUUCCAUCAUCACUUGUAGUCUUGAGUGAUGAAAAACAUCUUAUCAAAUGAUUCCCCCUUUCGAACAAUAAAGUUGUCCGUCUUAUAAAUCACGGGCUUAAGAUACUCGCAGAACACUUACAAACUCUUUCUCACUCACAUUUUGAAGCAUCCAAACCUAGAAGAAGACGCAGCAUUCAAGCAUGUUACUUUUUUGAUGAUACAAAUGCUUAUACGAAGACUUGGUAGCCAGUACCAACCUGCAAAUUUGCUUUGAGAUAUAUCAAAACGGAUAGCAUGCCGAUAACAGAUAUAAAAACUGCAAACAGGUUUUCCCAUGCAUAGCUGCUAGUCUGGAGGUUUUCCCAUGCAUAGCUGCUAGACUGGUUUUGGUUAUAUCCUUCUCGAGUUUCUUACGAAAAUCAUCAAAGCGUAGAACCCGGGUCAUGUAUUGCAGCACAAGAAGGAAGUUCAGAAACAUCCUCAUAGACCUCGAGCCCCUCAUUAUUUUUGCAAAAGAGCGAAUAAAUACCUGCAAAAACCGUAAUACAUUCUUAAACCAACAAUUAAAUGACGACGUUGAAUCCAUUAGGAACAUCUGUCCUAGUUUGUAGUAAUUAAUAUAGUUCAGGAAGGGAAAGGUCGGUCUCUUACAAGUGGAAUAGGAGCAACACCCAAAAUUAUCAAUUAAGAGGCAUGACCCCCAAAUUUUUUUAGCUAAUACAUAACUCCUGCUCCACCCCUUAGCGAUACCAUCCUCACGUCUCGCAGCCUGAUCCUCACGUCUCACAGCCUCGUGUAUAGCUCGAAGUUGAAAGAUAAUGUCAAGUACGUAAAAGAUAUAAGUGAAUAAUAGCAAACUAAGAACCACUGGUGUCAACUUUUUGUCCAAUCUGAUACACUUCAUGUCUUUGUUGAGUAUAGGAAUGUAAAAGAAUAAAGGAUCCACUGAGACAGCUAAACCCAACAUUAGUAGAAACACAUCAUUCCCAGCAAAGAAUUCGCUAGAUGAAUUACUUGGUCUAUAUUUUCCAUAAUCGAUAUCGGCAGAACUCUGCCCAGUAGUUGCUGCAGGAUUCCGGUUUGGACUACUGAACAGAACACAAGAAACAUGAAAUGGUACCAAUCAGGAACAAAAACACAUUAAAUUUCACAAACCUAAGCAUAAUUUAUUUGCCACAGAUUGAUUUAUUUGUAUAUCUGGUUUACGAAACUAACCUCGGAAUUUCAAUGAUCUCUUCCUCACGGGGAUUCAUGUAUAACCCAAAGGAGCUUUCUAUAAGUAUACCUCAAAGUUCUGUUGAUACAGUUGGUACCUGCAAAGAUGGAACAAAAUAUUUCAUGAAAUUUCGAACUACAACAUUCUAGUCCAUGCAUGAAUCCCGGCACUGAAGCGCACAACACCAGUAAUACCUCAAAUCAACGCCGCCUCAGAUUGGGAAACGUUCUUAGUGGAAAUUUGCAAACGAACAGUCUCGUUUUAUAAAAAACAAGUAAAGUUCAAUCAAAGUAUCAAGUAAGUUUCGGCGAAAUUUACGCUCUUAAAAUGUUUCCAGUUUAUUAUUGUUUCAACCUGGCAACUAUUUCCUACAACCUUACCAGCAGAAAAAUUAAGGAUUCCGAGAUUAGCUCUUAUCAAUGGGAAUACGUGGACCUGCAUUGAGAUCUGGUGUCGCUUAUUGACAUUGACAUUGUAUACAACAUGCUAUGUUGUAUCGACAGUCUUAAAGUAAUCAUUUUGCUGCUGGUUUUCACCUUUUGGUUGUGUUGUGUUUGUUUUGAUUCCCUGCGGAGAGAGCCCAUAAAUUGAACGGUUUUACCAACGAACUUCAACAAAAACAUAAUCUUUAGACACAAAUGAAGCAUUACGACCUCAGAAAAUAAGACGCCUUGCGUGAAAGAUGAGAAGCAACCAGACUCAUACGUUUUGCAUGAGACAGUGAGGGCAUCUGCUUCGCUUCUGCGAGGAUAUGCGUGUUUCGUGGUCUAAUCUGGAUAUUGCUUUUCUCCACACACAUUAAAGCAGCAUAUAGAACUGAUUAGUGAAUAUAUUACAAGAAAAUAGCAUACUUGAGAAAUGCCAUAGUUUAUUUACACAUAAAUUUGAUGAUUGAUGAUUUCCAUCUACAACGUUUGCACAAAGCAGACGGCAAGAAUCAAACCGCACAAAACAAUGAUAGAUUGUCAAGGAAUGCCAAGUUUCUGUACAAACACAAAUACUACAUAUAUAGGAACUGCAUAUUGGUACACUUAGCUUAAUUACAGCAAUCGGAACAAAUGGCAGAACCCUUUGCUACCAAUCUUCCUUCACAAUUUUUGACUUCUCAAAUAUGAACUUCCCUUCUUUGUACUUUUGCGAUGCCUCAUAAGCUCGUUCAUACUUCCAUCCCAACACCUCACGGCAAUCACCACAGUGGAUAUCAGCAACAGUAUGCAGACCAGUUAAGAGAUGCCUGUCUUCUUUUGCCCCAACAACGACAUUCAUCGCAUGGGAGAACAGAAAAGCUCGGCCAUGUCUUCCCUAUAAAAUGUUGGAAAACAACGUUAGACCCCACUUCCUAUUCUCACACCCAAAUAUGAAAUGAAACAAGACAUUCCGAUAUUUUUAGAUGCAAUACUUUCAUGUUACAAGAUCUGGCACAAAGAGCAAACUACGUGUUCGAUUCAUGUAAAAAUGGAAAGUUAUCUUCGGAUGUUCAUUGGUCCAUUCAGUUCAGUAUUGAUCACAGGCUUCACAGCCAAGAAACCUCAUGAUUAGUGACAAAGAAAAACGAAGAACAAAAAGCAGAGAACCUACAAAGACAGAGUCAACACCCCAAUUUCAAUUCUUCUAUGACAUUUACCCUUUGUGUAAAGGACGGUGAUUUUCAGACUCUCGUUUCUCCUCCUGCACUGUUGUUUCUAUGCAUUGGUUCUCCUUUACUCAAUUCAAUCCAACAGCUUGAGUAAAAAAAAAAAAAGGAAGGUGUGCAGGUGGAUAAAAAGGAGUGCGGAAAUCACAUGAAACCCUAUGCAAAUCAGUUUAAAGUUCUACAAAACUCAAUGAUCAUUUGGGAAGAACUAGUAAAAAGUCCAGAGACACAAAAAUUCAAAUAUUAUUUUCUCAACAAAUAAAAAAUCAAAGAAGAAUAAGUGAACAAUAAAUAUUGUGGAAACCUCACCUGAAAAGCCUUGGAAAUUAUAUCAUCGUGAAGGGAAACAUGGUUUCUGCAAUUACAACAGCUGUACAAUCUAGGCCCUACCAAAUUCGCCAUUAACAAAUAAGUCCACAGCUCGAACCUCUAAACACCUCUCACUGCUCGGCAACCAGAGAAAAGCAAAAGAAACAGAGAAAACUUACACACGGGAGAGUAAAAAUCUGUUAAAAUUAAAACACGAAAAUAUGGAUUAAGAGAAAGAUUAUGAAUUUAAUUACCAGCAACAAGAUCAACAGUGACCCAGAAGCCUGCAACCAAAGAUAAGAUUACCAACCAAAUUAGCAUGCAAGAUUCCAAAAGUAAAAUAUUAAAUUUUGAAAAUUGAAUGAUUGGGUUUUGAAAGAUACAGGAUUUGCAAUUAAGGGUAAGCAACAAGAACAUUUAGAAGAUUAAGAUUAACAAACCCAGAUUAAAAAUGAUUAAACAGGUGAAUAGGAAAGGGAAAGUUGGAGUCUUUGAAGUGAAAUUCAUGGGGUAUGACAAAAUUAAAAAAAAAAAGAAGACCCAUUAAUUAAUUAGGAAUUAAAAUCGGAAGGGAUGAGGAUCUGACCUGUUUAGCCAGUCACUAAUUGUGAUUAAAAAAUGAUUAAACUUUUUUAUGAGAGCAGAGAGAGUUGGGAAAUUGCUUUGUUCUUUUACUUGUAGAAUUGAAUCAAUUGAUUGCUAGCAAUUAGCAGUACAAUCAAAGUCGGGAAAUUGAUAGAGAAAUUGCAUUAAAUUAAAAGAAAAAGAAAAGCACUAACCUUUUAACAGAGGGCUGUGAGACUUGAGGGUUGCGUACAAACUCUAUGAGAGAGAGAGAGAGAGAUAGAGAUAGAGAGAGAGAGAGAGUUUUCUGCAAUAUUUUGAGUAGGAUGGACUUGGUUGGGUCACAAAGAGCAGAGUUACGCGCGCUCCGAUUGAGAGGCUCAACACGCGCAAGCUUAGCGGGGCUGUGCUACUGUUAACACAGUAGUACAAUGUGGCCCCUAGUUUAUCCCAAGUGUGUCAACUGCUAUACCAGGGGCGGGAGAACUAUAUAAAAUGAGGGAUGCUGUCUAUACAUUUCUUUUUAUCCUCUACAUAUCCUGUUAACAUUUUUAUUAUUUUUAAUUUAUUCAAUUCGAUGAUCAAAAAUUAAAAGCGACGUAGAAAAUAUAAAAUAAAAUGUGUGAAUAGUACCAUGCUGUGAAAGAUGAACAUCAAUAUGACAAUGUCUCAAAUUACAAAAAUUCUAUUGUGUGUGGGAAUUUUAGCCGUUAAAUUUUAGUUAUUUAUGUUUGAUCGAGAACUUGAUGGAAAGAAAAAUAAGAGAGUUUUUUUUUUAUGUCUGGAGCAUUAGUGUCCUGACAUUUCUGUUUAUAUAGGAGAACUUUAAUGAAAAACUUAUGGUAAUGUUCAUUUUAACUCAAAGUUUCCAAACUCAUUUCAUUAGUGUUUCUUUUAUAUAAUUAUUUUUAUGUGUCAAUAAUUUAACCACUGUUUUAACUAGUCAAUAAUAUUAACAAGGUACAUUUUGCGGGAAAUGUUGAAAAUACAUUCUGAUGGUAACAAGACAAAUUGAUAUAAAAAACUACCGUUUGUUACAUAGUUGGACUACUUCAAAGAUAUUUUGUUUGGAGAGAGGAUUCUUGGAGGAAUAUCUAGUGAGGAUUCUAAAAAUUCUCUAAUCACAUUCGUUCAUUGUAUAUUGUGCAAUUAGUUUUUAUUAGAUAUUAUUUAUAUAAAAAAAUUAUAAUAAUUUCUGAUCGCACGAUAUAUGAUAAACGGAUAUGAUUACAUGAUUCCCGAAAUCCUAAUAAAGAUAAUCCAGCGAGAAUGCUCCCGAUUUUUUUUUAGCCUUGUAUCUAGAGACGGAUUCGCGGAAAGCUAAACAUAAAAAUAAAUUAUUAUCAUCAAGUGGAGUUUUGAAUUCGGCUUGCACGGGUCAAAACUCAACCACAUGCGGGGAGCAAAUAAGAGAAGUUGGAGAGCAAGGAACUUUAAUUACCAAUGGAGGAUUUUAUUUAUGGAAAACUAAUGAAAUAAUAUUUAAAAAUUUUGAGUUUUAAUUAAAAUAACAAAAAGAUGUUGUAAGUAAUAAGUAGUACUAUAAAUAACUUUUUUAAGUAAAAAUAUCAUUUUCGUUAAAAGUGAAUAGUACCAGAAUGUUUUGUUAAAACUCGCUUCCAUUAACCGAAGUCCAUAUAUUACCAGAAAAUCCCCCCUUUCCAACUUUAAGAUUUUCCUUUUCCUUUUGAUGCAAUCUUUAUCAUUGCUCUUAUUCACCUUAAUCUUAUUGCUAAAUCAUCCAUUGCAUAAAGCAUGUGAAAUAUAACACACAUUAGUUUCUGCGCAACAUAUGCAGAGAACCAACAAGAAGAAGUACACAUUAUCCACAAAUGAUCGUAGUCCUUCGAAAAUCGAAUUAUUGUCGGUAGUAGGUACUGCGUUGUGAUGGGGUGACACGGCGGAAGUUAUAGACCAAAGGGAUCACGACCCUGAUCUUGUCAUGCAUCGUGAGGGAUUAUUAGUACUGCUUAGAAAUCUUUGCUCUCUCGAUUAUGAACAUCCCUUGCUUGUACAUCUGUGUCGGCUCAUAAGCUCGAAGGUACUUCCAACCUAAGACCUCACCGCAGUUGCUGCAAUAGAUGUCAGCAACUGAGAAAACACCUGAUAUGAGCUUCCUGUCCUCCUUUUGCCCCACAAUGAUGUUCAUUGCAUGAGAGAACAAAUAUGCCGGCCCAGUUUUCCCCUAAACAACGAAAUCCGAAAAUCGAAUUGUAAGUUCUUCUAGGUCAUAAAAGUGCUUCAUGGAGAAGCACCAUCAUGAAGCACUCCCAACUGCUUAUUUCAAGAAGCACUAGAAUUAUAGAUAAAUUAAGCAAAAUCCUAAUAAGCCCGGAGAGAAAACAACAUUGAUCAAGCACCGUGUGAUACCAUUGCUGAUUUUAGUUCUCAAACCUAAAUAUUAACGAAAAUAAGAGAACAUAAUAUAUUUUUCGUGUUUCAGUUUUCACCACAAAUUUCUUGGAGAUAAGGUCGUCACGAAGAGCAAGAGGAUUACGGCAACUUCUGCAGCUGAAGAAGGGGUUGCCGCCGGAUUCCGCCAUUAAACUGAAAGAUUUCAACACCAAGUAAAUAACAGUCAGAUCCUGCUAAAGUAUAUAGAUAUAUACAUAUACAGAUGGAGGAUAAAAAUGGAAAAAAGAAGAAUUGAAAUCUUCAUACAUGGAGGAGAGUCAAGAAACUCCGCUCCUAAGAUUGAAGAAUAAUAAGGAGAGGGAGGCAUAUUUGUAGAGUUUGGAGAGUUGACUGGAAAUAGUAUUGGAGACUUGGAGUUGGAAAAUAUGGAUGAGGUUGAUGAAAAGUCAAGGCUAGUGAUGAUGAAAAGUACUAAAAAUAUUAUUAUUAAGUGGAUAAUGGAAAUCAUAUCAUCUACGUCGAGACGGAAAGUACUUGACAGGUUGGUAAGAUAUAAUUGUUAGACAAGUUGGUAAGAAAUAAUUGUUAGACGGGAUGUGAUAUUCACACAUUUUUUUUAUUUCUCACAUACAUUUUUAAUUUUCGACUUUUGGAUCAGAUAAAUUGAAAAAAAUCAAGGGAUAUAAAUCAACAAAAGGUGUGUGAGAAGUAAAAAUUGGUGUGUGGAUAGCAUACCCUUUGUUAGACAAGUGGUUAACCUAGUCAAUAAUAUCAAUAUUAUGCUGAAAAUGUAUAGAUAGCACGUUAAAACGUUUUGAGUUAUGAUGGAGUGAGAGACAUAAUAAUGUGUCAUUAUACAUUACAAUCAAUUACUUUGAUACAUAACAAAUGUUCUUCCAACAAUCGAUUGUUUUCAUCACCAUAAGAGUCCGUUUGGUGGCCUGAAUGGGAAUGAGUCUAAAAGAAAAAAUUUAAUUAUCAGAGACAUGUAAGACAUAACUUGUAACCCAUGUAUAAUAAUAGGUUAGAUAAUCCACCAUAUUGAGGAUUCAUAACCUAUCAUUUACAAUCCUGUCUCAUUUUAAUUUGUUACAACCUAUUCUAACUAACCUACCACACAGCCCCUAAAAGACAUAACCAAUUAAUAACUUAGCAGGCACUACAUGGACUCCUCUACUUUCCUUCAUAUAGCUGAUAGCAACAAUACUUUCCUCUACUUUACUUCAGAGCUAAUAGCAACAGUACUUGUGUUGGUGUUAAGUCGUAGUCAUUGAGACAAAAAAGCAACACCAAAAUAUACAAAGAACUAGCAUACAAUAAGCAACGAUAAUUAGACAGAAUUGUACUAUAUAGACUUAUGUGAUAUGUUGCCUACUCGUAUGGAAGUAGACAAUACCGCCUACCUUGACAGAAUAUCACUUGCGUAAAUCAUUAGAGUAUAUUAUACUUACGCGACUCAUCAAAUAAAGUUUGUCUAGUGAUUGAUUGUACCAUUGGAUUUAACAUUUUUAGGAAUAUGAAAAUAAAAAAGGAACAAGACAAGUAAGGGGGGAAUCGAGAGUAGAGAGGUUUGAAGAUAAGAGUUCGUUUGGAUGUGAUUUUAAAAUAAUUAAAAAUAUUUUUUGUGAAAAAUAUAAGUAAAUCCUAUAUAAAAAUAUAAGUACUUUUUAGAAGAAGCACAAACUAAUGCUUAUUGUAGAAAAUACUUCAAAUACUUUUGAAAUUCAAAAAUAUUUUUUCUAAAAACGCUUUUAGUUAUUUUAAAAAAUAUCUAAACGAGCUAUAAUUUAUUAUCUAAUCUAACAAAUCUACACCGUACUGUGAGAAGAAGAAGAAAGAAAAGAAAAAAAAAAAAUUUUGCCCGCUCUCCGGUCUCCUAUCAUCUCACUCUUGCUCUCAUUCUCUACUGAGAAAAACCAGAAGCGUUCAUCUUCCUCUGCUCUUCCUUUCUCUCCACUCUUCAUAUCUCUCGCCGUGGAGCCAACAAACCAAGCAGCUAGUGACGGUCGACAAGCCUCAAACAUGGCGGACGCGUAUUGGAGGUACAGCGAUGGUCGACAACCGCCGGCCUCGACGAUGAAUUCAGUCGUCGGAAAGCGUCCUCGCUCCGAUUACGGUAUGUUAAAUUCCUCCAAUUUCCGUUCUUUUUUGGGUUUCCUCUCUCCAUUUUGCGUUUGUUUGAUGCUUGAUUAAAUUAGGGUUCUUGGGAUUUUAGUCUCUUACUGGCUGCUCUGAAAGCAGAAUUGUUCAAGUACAAAUACAAAAUGAAAAAUCUAAGAUAAGAAAUGUGAAUAAAAAAUGGGAAUUUCAAUAAGCUGACUUCCAAGUAGUCGAACUAGGUUUUCACUGGGCUGAGGAAUUGAAAUUUGGGAUCUUUUGAUCUAUGUUGUAUGUGGUUUAAUCAUUAUUUGAUAUUUACGUGGUUAGGUUAUUAAGGCAUUUUUACAAUUUUCGGAUAUGUAUAUUUGUUGCUUCUAUGGUUAUUUCUGAGAUAUAAUUGCUUAGAUUAUAUGAUAAAUUUGUAUUCUUGUUAGUUUUCUGUGCUCUAUUUGGUGUUAUUUACGCGAUUUUGAGUGUAAACCUUGUUCAAAGCAUGCAUAUGAGAGUUAAAAUGAGUAUUACUAAUCUUGUUAUGCACAUUUUUGAAGAUUUUUCGAUCUGUUGUACGCAUUCAUGAGGAGGGGUAGUCUAUAUAUUUUGGACACCGUUUGUUGGUAAUAUCAGCAAGCAACGUGCUGGCUGGUCCCGGCUCCUAGAUCAUAUUCGUUAGCAGUUUAUGUUAAGUGUCAACAUCCCCGGCGGCUGUUAAUAAUUAUUUCAGCUCUAAUAAAUGCCCGGUUUGAUUCAAGGAUCAGCCUUUUAUGCCGAGUUCUGUAAGCCUUGAUAGGUGUACAGAUUGUAUUAUACAUGAGUUUUUUAAUUGAAAUUAUUUGAAGAUAUGCUACCAUGUAGGAUCACUACAGUUACUCUAUAAACUACUAAGGUGCUAUCAUUAAAUGCGAAAGGAAAAUUCAAGUGGUCGUGUUAGCAUAUGCAAUAUAUUGAGAUGUCGUUAGGUUGUCAGCAGUUUAACUUAUUAUUCACUUGUUUAUAGCUUUAUGUCACCAUCUGCGUUUAUAAUCAUAUGCCUUCAAACAUUGUUUCUUUAUUUUCUCGUUUGGUAUCCUGAAGUACAUCCUUAAUCUUUUAGAUGCCCAGGGUGGUCAUGACCUCCCUAACUAUUAUCCCCAAGAAGAUGAUAGAGGUUCUAUCCGAGCAAUUAGAGAUACCGACUCCAUAAAUGCGUCGUAUGAUCGUUACCUGCGCAGUGCGGUACCUACUUUUCUCUUUCUGGAACCGUCACAAUUUUUUACCAUAUGUUUUAAGUUUUGGGGGCUAAUGUUACAUGUAAUGUUUCAGCAAAUUUCAUCAUAUAGCGGAGGGCAGUCUGCUAGAAACAUGAGUGGGGGACCACCUGGUCGUGCUGUUGAUGAUCCACGCAUGAUGGGAAUUGGGGGUGUUGACCCAGGGGCACCUGUUAAAGAUAGGGUCUUAGGAAUGGGAAGUGGACGGCCUGACGCUCCCCUUCCUCCUGGUGCUACCAGUACGCUAUUUGUGGAGGGAUUGCCUCCCAACUGUACUAGACGUGAAGUAGCUCGUAUCCUUUAAUUUUUUUAGGGGUUGCAGUUUUAUUUCUCUUUUUAUCAUUACUUGCACUUUACCUUUUUAGAGUUUUCCCUUCACUUGGUUUCAUAGAUAUCUUUAGGCCUUUCGUUGGCUACAAGGAAGUGAGACUCGUGAGCAAGGAAUCGAGACAUGUGAGUUUAUCUUUUGCAAGGAAUAGAUUUAAUUGUUAGUGAUUGAUGGAUUCACAAAUAAUUAACCUGUGCAGCCUGGAGGAGAUCCGCUGAUACUUUGUUUUGUUGAUUUUUUGAGUCCGGCCCAUGCAGCAACUGCUAUGGAUGCAUUGCAAGGUAAGCUUAAUUUUUUAUUUAAUUUGUUGAAAUUAUAGCACCAUAGUUUUGUUGCUUUUUCUUAUGCCAUUGUUGGAGGAGAUGCAUUUCCUAAAAAAAAUUCUCCACUUCACAAGAAGAUGGAUUGGCAAAUGAUAAAAAGGAUUUGCACCAAUAGUAUGGAUUGUUGUUUGGCAGUUCUAUGUAAUUAACCAAAAGAGCCAAUACGUUACCAAAGUUUACAAAUGUAUAGUAGAAUGGGCAGACAAGAUUGCUUUGCUUCAAUUCAUAUGGAAACUUUGUACACAGGAUUUGUGACUUUAAACCCCUUUUAACUUCCAAAGCUACUUUCAACCACUUCAAAGAUUCCCAAACCCUUAGUUUUGUGGCAUUUAUUUUCUGUUUAAAGUGAGAUAAUUCACAAUUCAAGGUGUGGGACUACGUUUUUUAAAGACGACGUGAUUUUUGGGCCAUUUUUAUUGGAUUUACGAGGUGAGCACAGAUUACCGCUGCCCAUAGGUCUUGGUUUCACCCGUGACUUUAAGUUAGAAGUUGCAUGGUCAGCAAAGUCAUCCAGUACCAGGACACCACAAACCAAACUUGUUAAAUUGUUCCAAACACUGGAAGGGAUUGCCUUCAUGGUUCAUUUGUUAUCUUCCAAGGUUCUAUGAAGGCCUUGAAUCUGGUUGGUUUCUCGGGACGUGAUUUUUCCCUUAAUUAGUCAAGUAGGACUGCAAGACUGAUGAGAAUUUUUGUUUGGCCACUCUUGUAAUUCCAGUCUAUGAGUAGUGCUGGGGACAGUGGUGCUCUCAGUAUAGUUAUCUCAUGUUUUAGCCUACACUUUUGUCUUUUGUUCCUGUUAGAUGAAAUCUCAUUAUGAGGUUUCCCUAGCGGUAUUGUAUACUUUAUGUCAAGAGAGAAAGCUCAUCACCUUCAUUUUUGGAAUGAGGGGAGACCCAUUUUUACCAUUCUGUCAAUCUAGGGCGUGUGGCGAACCCAGGUUUGCGACUUAGGUGUGUUGAAAAGUGAUGGGUGUUAAAUAUUUAAGAUAACGGUUUAACGUCUUUAUCUCAUCUAUCUGCUGAUGCCCUCAAUCGGCAUUGAGAACGUACCCAGUUGUUACAGCGUAAAUGGUCAAGCUCGAUUUUGCAGGUUAUAAAUUCGAUGAGCAUGACCGUGACUCGGUCAAUUUAAGGUUGCAAUUCGCUCGCUAUCCUGGUGCGAGGUCAGGUGGUGGGCACCGAGGGAAGCGUUGAAUUAUGCGGUUUUUCAGGUGAUUCACACAAUUUUCGAUCGGUGCAACCGUUUAUUAUUCAUGGCCGUUAGGUGCUGAGUUAAAACUAAAAAAAUCACGCUAAACCGUCGAACGACUCUUCUCUGUAGGACUUGCUUGAUUCGGGAGGUUGUGAUAAUGAGGGGCGAUACAGCAAACUUGCAGUUUCGAGAAUUAAAGGCGCAUAGUUAGGACCAACUCGCUUGGGUGGUUCCCUCUAAUUCUAGAGUGCUUUUCUGUUUAGACACCUGCAGACUUUAUUUCUUUUACUUUGAUUUGAACUGUUCCGUUUCGUUACCAGUAUGAUUACUUACGGAUAUUUUGCCAUGCGUUUGCUAGAAAAUGUAAACUUAAAUAAGUUGAACAUGUUGAAGUCUCCUUGCAUUUGCAUAUGCUCUGGGAUUAGGGUCUAGGUUUGAUAUUUAUUCGGUGAUGAAGUGCGGUGACUGUUGUAGGUUUCGUUUUGUAUUGACAGUAACUGGCUUUUGUGGUAACUGUUGUAGGUCUCGUUUUAUAUUGAAAAUAACUGGCUUUUUCUGUGUUGUUGCUCAUUUUUUUUCUCAAAGAUGUCAUGAAUUUUGUUUGUCGUAAGAGUCAGUACACUAUGUACCAAAUUAUCGCUGCAUGGAAGCAUUCUUGCUUUUGGUUUUCAAGUUUUUUGACUGGGUUUGGGUUGAAUUGUAGAUGGACCUAAUCCUAACAUGAUUCGAUUGUGAUGUACUAGAGUCUACCCUAGAAUCGAAGAAUUAACAUGAUAUCGGAAGAUUUGUCGUAAGGGAUGUUUUUGGAUUUCACUUUCCUACACUACUGGGGAGGCAGCUACUGUAAUUAGGUGCAUAUUAGGGCUUGAUUCUUUUACUAACAUCAUACUCUCCUAUUUUGUUUCUCUUCCCUUUUCAUGGGGUGAUAUUCUAAUAAUCUCCGGGGAGGACGAGGAAGUUCGGUGCAAGUUGAGCACACUGCACCGAACUUCCGGUCCUCCUCCCCGUAGCAUGCCUAGAGUGAGAGUGAGAGUCAAUGACUCAAUGGCAUACCCUUUAACUCUGUAGAGUGAGAGUCAAUGACUCAUUGGCAUGGUAGCACGCGUUCAUUGUAGUCUAGGCAUUAUCCAGUUGGAAAUUUAUGGUUUCAUAUUUUCUUGCAUUUCCACAAGGUCCUAUCUUGUCAUCGGCUAAUAAAUGUUGAAGACAGAGAAAAGAACGACAAUCGUGAUCUUUUUCCACGGAUUCAUUAAGCAUUGCUUUUGCUUCACCGCUGCGGGAACUGCCAAAGUUGGGGUUGGUCUUCUGUAAGAGAAUUGAGGCACCUUUGCUCUUGUGGUUUUGAACGAGCAAAAUAAUGAACUUUCUGUUUGCUGCAAUUGCCGUCCCCAUGAUCAAACCCCUCUCAGGAUGGUAAAUCUUGCACUUGCCAUGUUGUUUGACAAUUGCAAGACCCUUUUCUUGCAGCUGCCAAUACAAAGUAAAUUGUUCUUUAAAUCUGGUACAUAAAACACCCCAAUGAUUACAUUGACUUCCAUGACAACAUUCCCUUUCCCUAGCACAGCCAAGCUCGAGUUGUUCCCCAAUUUUGUUUGAUCAUCAAUUGUUGUCUUCCUCUGUGCAUCAAUGAGAUUCGUCCCUUCUGCUGCUGCAAAGAUCCCAGCCUUCACUCUUCACCAAGCCCCAAUAUUCCUUGAAGCGCAAGAAAUUCUCCAUGAACACCAUCAAACUUUGGGAUUGCAGGUUGCAUAAAGCUGCUUUCAGGCCAUGUGUGGCUGCUGAACGAUAAAACUAGCUCCUGAGUUACAUGCUUUGAUCAGGCCCCGUGAUGGGGCUCUAAUACCAGAUGUUAGAAUCGAGAAUGAACACUUGAUAAAACUAGUAGAUAAAUGUUUGAUUUGCACUCAAUAGUUGGAAGAAUUUCUAUUAAUGAAUUCAAGAGCAACAAUGGCGUUAAACAGCCUUACAAAGAACUGAAAGUUGAAAGUACAGCUCACAUUUUAACAACCCUAAUUACGUGGUACACGACUAAAGUUGGAAACAAACUAAACAACUUGAACCACUACUUGAAACAAGCCAUAGAAACUAGGAAACCCAACCCUAACGGCUAGGAAACCAAAACAACUUCAACGGUGUAGUUUCUGUUCUCUUAUUAUUUCAAUGCCUCUUUUCAUGUCCUUGAUCGUAAGCGUAAACCCUUCGACUUUUGUGCAGCACAUAACACUCUUGGUAGAGCGAGAGGUCGUCCCUUCAUAGAAUGCCCGUGCUCGAACAAGUUCUUCUCUGUAAAAAUCACCUUUAUGAAAUAACCGGUUACUUGUAGGUGUGCAGGUCAUCACUGUCCCUUGCGUGAUGAGUAAUAUCUCUUCAAAUUGUUCCCCCUUUGGAUCAAUAUAGGUGUUCGCCUCAAGAAUCACGGGCUUAAGAUAAUCACAGAAUGCUUCAAACUCCUUUUCUUUCAUAUUAUGAAGCUCCGUAGCCUAGAGGAAGACACAAGUAUACGAGAAAUAUAAAGAGCAAGUCCAACGAAAAUGUAUUGUCCAGAAUUGAACUAGGCCUGCUAUGGCCGUGAGCAUUCAAGCAUAGGUUACCAUUUUUAAUACAAAAUCUUACUCUUUUUAGUGUAUCUAGGCAGAGACGGCGCUUGAUAUUAACCCUAUCUUUCCAGGGAAGAAUAUCGUUGAUAGUUAUUAUGUUGAUGUCUUUAUCCGCUUUCAAUUCGUUUAAUGCACAUGUCAUGAUCCUUUCUUUCAAAUCCAAAGGGAGGCCAUUCUCAUCUAACCAUGAUGCUAUCUGAGGAUUUCUCUUAUUCCUCAUUUCCCUCAACUUUCUGUUCUCCUUUGAUAAUUCAGCUGUCGACUGGGCAUGCAUCUGUUCCACAACAUGUUGGUUUUAGUAUUUUCUAUACAAAAAUUAAUAAAUUAACUUUCUUUGCCAACUUGAAAGGUUUUGUUCAAUUGGAACUUUUAUUCGAAGACUCGGUAGUGAGUACCAACCUGCACAAUUGCAUUGAGAUAUAUCAAAACGAAUAGCAUGCCGAUAACAUUAAUAAGAAUCGCAAAGAGGUCUUCCCAUGCAUAGCUGCUAGUCUGGAGAUUUUGCCCAAAAGAGCUGCAAAAAAGAAACAGAAAACCCUAAAUUCAUUGAGCUCAAGCAAGUCAUAUCACUUCUCUUUGGAAAAUAAUAAUAGCAAUAAUGAAGAACGAACCUUAAAUUUCGUAAGCCCCACCAAAAACAGUGCAAGAAUUUCUGUGGAAAAUCUGUUGAGCUCAAGAUACCAGAUUGAAUGGCAUCAAGAAAUAUACCGAAAUCAAAAGACGUUGCGGUUGGUGGAUUUGCAUGACAUAGAUUAUUUAGAAGCGUGACAUUUCUCAUGAAUGUAUCCUUGUCCUCACAAUAAAAACCUCCAAGUUCACAACCAUUUUCAUUUCGACAAGCAUACUUCCAGCAAUCCAUCAAUCGUUGAAAUGAAAGAAAGUACCAAAGAGCUCCGAAAACCUAAAGGGAUGAAAAUGACGUUAGAAGCUGCAUGAAAAUUUACAAACGUUCUACCAUAUUUAUGUCAGAAAAUACGUUAAUAAACUCAUAGAAUGAUAAAAAUAAACUAAUUAAGUAGUAAGGAAUAGUUAUUUAGUACUACGGUUUAAUGAUAUUCUUCUUCACUUGUAAGUGAGAGGUCUUAUGUUCGAUUCUCGCUAAAGACAAAUUUGAACCACAUUAUUAUGCUAGCCCAUUUAGUCCACUCCCCUAUCCUUGUAGAUAAUAUCGUAUCUUCAAAAAGUAGUAAGGAAUAAGACUUACAUGACUAGCAAGAAUGAACUCAAAGAUUAUGAAAACGCCACGAAUCCAGAAUUUGCCAACACCCUUAAACCAUUUUAUAGGAGUGUCUUGGGUUAUAUGCUCACGCAAUUGAUAAAUGCGUCCAACCCGGACCACGUAUUGCAGCACAAGAAGAGAGUUCACCAUCAUUCUAUAAGAACCCGGGAGCCUUAUUAUUUUUGUGAACGAGAGAAUAACAACCUGUAAAAACCAUAAUGGAUUCUUAAGCCAACAAUUAAACGACAAUGUUGAAUCAAUUAGGAAUCAAUAUCGGUCCUAGUUAGUAGUAAUUAAUAUAGUUCAGAAAGGGAAAGGUUGAUCUCUGACUUGUGGAACAGGAGCAACAGCCAAAACAACAAUUGGCAACCAUUGCUUAAUAAUCCUCCAACGAUUAAAACGAUCCUCAAGAACAUUCCAGAUAAUGUCAUAUGCGUAAAAGAUAUCUGUGAGGAAUCGCAAAUAAAGAGCCGUAACUUUCAACUUUCUGUCCAAUCUGGUACACUUGAUGUCUAUGUUGACUAUAGGAAUGUAUAAAAAUAAAGGAUCCACUGAUACCGCAAACCCACAGAUUAGUAUCAACACAGCACUCCAAACUUGACAAAAUUCCCCAUUCGGAUUUAAGAGUCUUCUAAAUGUUGGUCCAAAACGCCACCUUUCCUUAAUCGCUACUCUCCGUUGUAUCCAUUCUGCACGUUCUCUUCCAAAACGCCAGCUUUCCUUAAUCCCUUCUCUCGGUUGUCUCCUUUCUGCCCAUUCUCUUACAGGGGACGUAACACUAGAAACAUCAAAGUUUACCAGCCAGGAACAAAAACACAAUAAAUUUCAAUAUUUCACUAAUAACCCGAAGCAGUAAGCAUAAUAUAUUUGCAUAUUGGCAGUGAUUUAUUUGUGUAUCUGGUUUACGAAACUAACCUCUUCGUCGGAUUCAACUUUUCCAAAGGAAUCGGGUUUGCACGCUCCCCUGUAGUUGCCGCAGGAUUCGGAUUUGCACUACUGGACAGAACACAAGAAACAUCAAAGUUUACCAACCAGGAACAAAAACACAAUAAAUUUCAAUAUUUCACUAAUAAACCUCAGCAGUAAGCAUAAUAUAUUUGCUUAUGGCAGAUUGAUUUAUUUGUAUAUCUGGUUUACGAAACUAACCUCGGACUUUCAAUUAUCCCUCUCUCAACGGAAAUCGUUAUCUCAGAGGAGCUUAGUGGAUCCAUGUAUAACCCAAAGGAGCUUUCUCGACGUAUACCUCAAGAGUUCUGCUGGUACAGUUGAUACCUGCAAAGAUGGAACAAUAUAGUUCAUGAAAAUUACGAACUACUACGUUCUAGGCCAUGCAUGACCAGUAAUACCUCAAAUCAACGCGGCCUCAGAUUGGGAAGCGUUCUUAGAGUGGAAAUUAGCAAACGAAGAGUCCCCUUUUAAAGAAAACAAGUAAUGAAGUCCAAUCAAAAUAUUAAGUUUCGGAGAAAUUUACCGCUUAUAAAUUUGUUCUUUCCGAUUACAGUUAUCUAGUUUAAUAUUAUUUCAACCUGGCAACUAUAUCCUGGAAACCUACUAGCGGAAAAAUUAAGGGAACUUUCAUGAAAAGAGUUUAAACUAAGUUUAUUUUAAUAAAAAAUUCAUGCUAUAACUUUAUUUAAUUAAAAAGACUUAAAUUUUAAUGAAAAACCCGUGAAUUUUAAUAAAAAGGACAAAAGAACUUACAUUUUAAUGAAAAAGACAUAAUUUUAAUAAAAAUGACAAAAAAUCUGACACGCGGACUCACGGUACACUGUUUAUGAAACUUACCACACUGUUUAUGAAAUUUACUACACUGUUUAUGAAAACUUGCGAUACUGUUUAUGAAACUUACGACACUAUUUAUGAAAAUUUACUACAAAGAGUUCCUCAAGAACCAUACAGCUUAUUUAAUCUCCCAUGAUUGCUGCAUGAGAUACCCAGUUGUUCCUCCCUUCUUUUCAGGGCCGUCUCUGAGAUUUCAGGGCCCUGUGCCAAAUUUAUAAAAGAGGCUCUUCUUAAGACAACCAAAAAAAAAAAAAAUUAAUUGAACAAAGUAUUGAUGCUAAAAAGCAAUAUUGAAACAAACUUUAAAACUCAAACUAAUCAUCGGUUUCUAAAUAUCAUUAAAUGUAAAGAAAGGUACAAAAAUAACCAUAUUAUUAAAUAAUCAACAAUUAGUUCAAUCCUAAGAAACCAAAUAAACAAAACUUUAAAAAGUCUAGCAUUGAAGUUUCACUUAAAGAUGCUUCUUCGUGCAUUCUUUGCUGCAAAAUCAUCAAUUAAACCUUCAUAAUCAAUUUUGUGUAAAAAACCACUUUCAAUCGAUAUCAAAGCAAGUCCAUUUAACCUUUCCUGCAACAUAGUUGAUCGCAAGUAUGAUUUUAAUAACUUUAACUUUGAGAAACUUCUUUCCACAGAUGCAACGGUAACAAGUACAGUCACCAAAUUCUGUACGCAGUGCUUGCAGUCGCGCAUCCUCUUCAAAUAGUUCAAUAUGUCAAUUGAUGUCUUCAUUUCUUUCGGCAAAGGCUCUUGUAAAAGCUUCAACUCUACAAAUAAUGCAUCCCCAUCAACAUCAAAGAACUCACAUUUCUUGAGAAAGUUUUGAAGGCGGUCACAACAAUCUUUCAAUUUAUCAUUGUCCAUCGAAUUCAACCUUUCUGAAAUGAACAAAAACCCAAAUAUAUCAUCAUAUGCUUGAUAUUCUUCAAAUCUUCUCUUCAAUGAACCAAUAGCUUGAUCUAUUAUAUAUAAGAAGUAAUGAACCCUAAAAGAUUCAUCCGCUGAUUGUUCAGUUGAUUAGGAUGAUUCGUCAUCACUCUCAUCAAAGUGUCUCUUUCUACGAACUUGACGCUUUUCCGGAAACACGGAAUCAAUUUCCAUUUCAAUAGCAAGUUUUUUAGCAUUAAUCAUGUCCUCUGCAAACCCAGUUUCUCUAUACUUUUCAAAAUAAGCAAUCAAUCCCUGCACUUGUUCUAUAGCAACAUUAAUACAUAUGUCUUUAGAUUGCAAGUCUUUGCUAACCUCAUUAAUAGCAGCCAAUACUUCGUACCAAAUAGUCAUGCCCAAUAAAAAUUCAAAAUUCCCAAUUUCAUUUGUUGCCAAAGAUUUAGUUGCACCUCUUGUUACUAAGUUAUUGUCACUUUCUGCUAGUUGGAGUAAAGUUUUUUUUAUUUGUACAGGUUAUGAUUGAAUUGUUUUAACACUCACAACAUGGCUUUCCCAUCGUGUGGCCAACAAUGAUUUGAGAGUCAUUCAUUUUAUAUUUUCUUUCAGAAUCUGCCAUCGUUUUGUAGAAUUAGCGAACAAGCUAUAAAUACGUUGUACUGUUCCAAAAAAAGUCUUUAGUUUUGCCACAAGAGUUUGCCAUAUCACAAAGAGUUAAGUUGAGACUAUGGCAACCGCAUGGAGUAUACAUUGCCCUAUGAUUUAUAUCCAAAAGCCUCUUCUGUAAACCUUGGUGUCUCCCUUUCAUAUUUGAUCCAUUAUCAUAUCCUUGCCCUCUCACAUCAUCAAUAUCAAGAUCAAAAGCUUUUAAUAGAUUCUGUAACUCUUCAAACAAUCCUUGUCCAGAUGUGUUAUUCACAUUCAGAUACUGCAAAAAAUAUUCUUCUACUUUUACUGGAGUACUAUUCACAUCCACACGUCUUAAGAUCAAAGUCAUCUGUUCUUGGUGGCUAAUAUUAGGAGUACAAUCAAGUAUCACAGUAAAAUAUUUAGCUUCUUUUAUUUUCUGAAUGAUUGCAGCUUUGAUUUCACAAAAUAUCAACAAUAUCAAUUCAUUCUGGAUGGUAUGACUAAGAUAAUGGUAACGAAUCUCAUUUUUUUGAAAACGUUGAAGAUGUUUCUUUAUCGGUGGAUCAGAUUCAGCCAUCAUUUGAACAAGGCCCAUAAAAUUUCCAUUGCUUUCUUCAUAAAGCGUAUCGUUUGUUCCACGAAAUGCCAAAGUCUAUUUAGCUAGAUAUUUCACAAUGGAAAUCAACAUUCGUAGUAACUCCCUCCAAUGCCCUUUUUCUUUCUUGAUUUGGUUCUGCACAUCUUUGUCAAUUGUUUCAUUUUUUUUCCAAUCAAAGACGCAAAUCAAUCCAAGUGGUCAUGUUCGAGAUGUGAUCAGAACUGAUUUCAUGCUCUUUAAGCCUCACACUGAGAUGUGUCCAAUCUUUGUAGCCCUCAUUUGCUAAUUGACCUUUGAGAUGCCCUUUCUUAAACAAUUUGCAACAAAAACAGAACACUUUAUCAAUAUCUUUUGAAUGCACUAGCCAAUCUCUAUCAUGUUUCUCUCUAUUGGACAAGUAUCAAAUGUAAAAGGCUGCAUUAAAACGCCUAUUAAACUGAUCUUUAGGACCUUUCUCAAUUGAUAGAUCUCUUACAGGAUCUUUUUCUACUAACAAAUCAAUCCAUUUGGGAUCAAGACUAUCCCAAAUUUGAGGAUCAUAAACGUUCGAGGGAAUGGACUCACUCGGUUGUCCAGUGAAGACAUUAUGAGCAUCAUCAUAAUUAUCAAUCUCUUCAAGAAUGUCAUCAAUUUCAUCAUGGCCCAAAUCAUCAACUAAUUUCUCAUUGUCAAUGUGUUGUUCAUUAACUAAAUCAUCCACCGAACUUUGUGGUUCUUUUUCUUUAACAAAAAACCUAUCAAUAGCUCAUUUUUUAGACUGAGUCAACUGUUCAACCCUUCUUUUUCUUUGAUGCUUCAAGUAGCCAGAUGAAUAUUUUCUAGUAAGUGUCAUCUUUUAUAUCUCAAACAAGAUCACAAUUAAAUUAUAAUAAGUAUGAACAAUAAAACCUGAUAGUCCGCAAUGUGUGUGCGUCUAGUAUUUUUUGCGAUUGCUCCCUCUUGUUGUGAUGAUUACUUGAUUAAUUUCUAUGAGUUUUGCCCUGAAAAGUAUACAAGAAAAAAAUUCAUUAUAGAUGAGAAAUACCUAAAUUUUCAAAUUUCAACUUCAUAUACUUAAAUUUAUAAAUUACUUACUUUAAUCGAAGUCUGCAUCAUUUUGAUCACUUGAACUGUCUUCGUAAUUUGAAAAUUUCUAUUCAAUUGGAUGAAAUUAUGAACUAGGGUUUAGUGGUUUGUGGGGGGAAAAAGCAGUGGAGAGAGAACUCGGAUGCAAUGGGAGGGAUGAGGCGUCAAAGGAAAAAAAAAAGACUCUUAAGUCUCUGAUUAGACUUUAGCGUGAAAAAUAAGGAAAAAAGUGAGAUAUAGUUUUAUAAAAUAUAUAAUUUCAUAAGGAAUUGAUGGGUGUGUGGGAUUAUAGGCAUGUAGCCAGUAGUAUUGUGGGCCUACUCCUAUUAUAUAUAUUAUAUCUAUUGUGUUGGUUAGAUUUUAUAUGAUAUUUUUAUAUAACUACAUUUAAUAUAAAAUUAUUCUGGGGGCCCCUCAAAUUUUGGGACCCUAUGCAAAGGAACCUAUCAGACUCCUCCAAAGCCGGCACUGGGUUUGAGAUCUCGUCGGAGUCACUACACCGUGACUGCACAGUGUCGAGGGAUGAGAAUGAGUGAGAGUGGGAUGUGAAGGAGAAAAGGAAAGGGUCCUGGUGGCAGCAAUGGUGGUGUGAUGGUUGUAGUGUGUGUGCUGGUUGCAUCAGAGGGAAGAGAACCGAGAGAGAUAUAUAGACAGACACUAGUACAUAACAGCAUAUUUACCACGUCAAUUCCAUCACGGGCAUCAACAACUCGUGGUAGAAACUAUUCAAUUACCACGGUCAAGUGUCGCUCGUGGUAGAUAACAUUAAUCCACCACGGUUAGAUUCCGGCCCGUUGUUAAAAGUGAAUAAUCUACAACGGUUUUUAAUUCCGUGAUGGAAUAUCAAAACCACCACGCGAUAUGCUCGUAGUGGUUACUUCAAACGACCACACCGCCUUUUGAAAAUUCACCACGCCAUCGGCCCGUGGUGGAUGUUUUUAUGUUUUUUUUUAAAUAUAUUUAGAAUCAUUAUAUUAUUGAUUAUUUAUUACUAUAUUGAUUAUUGAUUGCAACAAAAAAUUUCUUUCAUAAUUUAUUAUUUAUUAUUAUAUUUGAAAUACUACACUUUUGUUUAACUUUUAAAUCCGAUAAUAUCCAAUAGUCCUAAUUAAAAGUGAUGCGGAGAAUUUCAAUCAAUAAAUGACAUGGUUACAAAUAAUGAUAAAUAAAAUCUACAAAACGUGGGAGGGAGGCAAGGAGACCUCCAUUGCUUUUGUGACUACCCAGAACACCCAAAUUUUGGUUUGUCUUCAUUGCGAUUUGACCAAAACAAAUAAAAAGUGAUAAUUACAAUUCAAGAACUAUGUAAAAUAAAAAUAGAACUAUAUAUUUAAAAUUUAAGAUAUCAAAAUUUUACCAUAAUUACAACAUAAAAACUUCUAUGUAUAAUUUUAUUUAAAUUUAUUAGCCCAUUAGUGGGUGUUGCGCCGUAUCAGAGUCCCAAUAUACUUUUAGUUUUAUGGCUAUAAGAGAGUCCCAAUGAUGAUAUAAUUGUAAAACAACUAACAUAUAAUAAAGGUUAAUAUAAUUUUUAUUGGAAAGAAAACUUAAUUAAAAACCCACUAAGCGAGGAAACUGCCGUUCAAGUUCCCACCAGUUGCUUGCAGUUAUAUUUGGUUAUCCCCUCAAUCCUUCUCUUCACAUCCUUCUUUUUUUCUAGGACGCAAAAGAUUAUUCACUGAUCUCUCUAUAUAAAUUUGGUAUGAAUUGAGUGGUCUUGUAGUUGCAUUUGGCUCUUUUGCGAUACUCUCACGAUCUCUCAAGCUCUCAGCCCUCUCACUAUCUCUUUCUCUCAGUGAGUUUGAUUUGGAUUGUCUUUCUCUUUCAGGUUGGAAUCUCGGUUUCAGACUAUAUAGUCUUGAUUCUGGUAUGUCAGUUUCGUAGGGUUUCUUUCUACGAAUUUUCUUGGUGUUAUUUCAUCAUUUUUCCGCAAAUUUCAACCCUAUCUAUUCUCCAUAAGUUCUCUCGUUGUUUAGGGUUUUUUCGUUUUUUCUAUGUUUUACUUCAUCACUAAUUGCUAAUAUUGUUGGAGGAUUUUUUGUAAUCGGAGCUAUUCCAAUUAGUACGCUGGCUUUUUUUUUUUUUUUGUCAUUUGUUAUCACUGAUGAUUUAUAAUGUAAUUGUUGUUUUGGGAUUUUGAGGAGGUGCGUUGAUGAUGUGCCAUCAAUGUCAGAGGAACAACAAGGAUUGGGUAGUUCGCUGUAAAGAGUGUAAGAGGAAACGAUUUUGUAUUCCUGAUCUGCUAUAUAUUGCUUUAAUAUUUCUGAUUAUAACUUACUAAAGAUCGAUGUUGGGUUCGUAGAAUCCAGUAAAUGAUAUUUGAUUUGGUUUCAAAAGGAGAAAGGGGUUACAAUUUACAUUCUUAUCUGGUUGGUGAUAGAAUAAUGUGCAUUUGGUCUUGAAAACUUCUUGAAUGGAGGAUGCUGUAUCUAGUACAAUUGCUUGGCUAUCAAAGUACGUUCGAGUUGGAGAGUAAUUUUAGUUCGUACUUACACUAGAAAAUGGUACUUUGACACUACAUAGAUAGUACUUUAUGACUUCUGUUUAUGUAUUCAUUAGGCACUACAUGGAUAGUACUUUAUGACUUCCGUUUAUGUAUUCAUUUGGAAACUCAAGUAUUUUUAAAUUAUGUUAUAAUAUUAUCAAGUAUUUUUUAUGUGCUUAUUAUAUUGUAGUAAAUAUGCAAUUUUGUUGGUUAUUCUAUACUAAAAUAUAUAAAUACAGAUAUAUAU
Molecule: long non-coding RNA, 40900 nt
Filed under: Malus domestica (apple)
Lineage: Eukaryota; Viridiplantae; Streptophyta; Magnoliopsida; Rosales; Rosaceae
Description: long non-coding RNA (MDOM_LNC001250)
Source: RNAcentral